RNAcentral lists this ribosomal RNA (1152 nucleotides) under Uvigerina elongatastriata. Its description in RNAcentral is "SSU rRNA". It matches the Rfam family "Eukaryotic small subunit ribosomal RNA". The record is from RNAcentral. Lineage: Eukaryota; Foraminifera; Rotaliida; Uvigerinidae.
AAGGGCACCACAAGAACGCGUGGAGCAUGUGGCUUAAUUUGACUCAACGCGGGAAAUCUUACCGGGUCCGGACACACUGAGGAUUGACAGGCAAUAUUAAUACACACACACACACACGCGCUCUCACGUGCUGUUGUGUGUGCUGUAGUGCGUAUUAUGUUAAAUAUGCUAGUCCUUUCAUGAUUAUGUGAUAGGUGGUGCAUGGCCGUUCUUAGUUCGUGGAGUGAUCUGUCUGCUUAAUUGCGUUUCACUAAGGGCCUAUACAAUUUACGUAUGUCAGUUAUUUUUUUACACUUUGACCCCUCUGCUUACGUUUCAUUACGCUGCAGUGCGUGUGUCUUUGUUCUAUAAAUUAACUCAUACAAUUUAGGUCCUGAAAGCAACGAACGUGACCGCAACCUCUUGUUGCUUUCUUUAUGUGGGUAUUAACUACACUCACACACAUAUACACACAUGCGUGUAAAUGUGCGCGAAAGCUUUUUAAACUAGAGGGACCGCUGUUAUCUUCUUAAACCAGAGGAAGGUUGCGGCAAUAACAGGUCUGUGAUGCCCUUAGAUGUUCCGGGCUGCACACGUGCUACAAUGAUUAUUGCAGUGAGCAUCUCAUUUUUUUUAUACACCGCAUGCGCGAGUCCAUUUAUUUAGCAUCGUGUAUUUACGUACGCGUGUUUUUUUUAAAUGUGUAUCUCUGCGCGCGGUAAAGCCUGCUUCGAGAGUAAGUGGGUAAUCAAUUAGAAGUAAUGAUUUCCUAUUUUUUUAUAUUCUGCACACAUAUAUACGGCAGCUAUACCCGGGUAACCUUGUUGUUACUUUUGUGCGUAUAGUUGUACCCUUUUUCCGUAUGUGCGAUUGUCAAUUCAUGGUGGGGACAGACCAUUGUUAAUUGUUGGUCUCGGUCUUAACUAGGAAUGCCUUGUACGGGUCUUUGGUUCAACAAACCACCCGGAAUACGUCCCUGCCCUUUGUACACACCGCCCGUCGCUYUUACCGAUGGACUUCUNUGUGAGUUUGAGGGACUGGGAACGCUGUAAAUAUAUUUUUUUUUUACGAAUAUAUUCUUAUGCACACCUAUGGAAACUUAAACGAACAGUGUGGUCUAAAGGAAAGAGAAGUCGUAACAAGGCAUCAGUAGGUGAACCUGCAGAAGGAUCA